GAUGAACGCUGGCGGCGUGCCUAAUACAUGCAAGUAGAACGCUGAAGGAAGGAGCUUGCUCUUUCCGGAUGAGUUGCGAACGGGUGAGUAACGCGUAGGUAACCUGCCUGGUAGCGGGGGAUAACUAUUGGAAACGAUAGCUAAUACCGCAUAACAGUAGAUGUUGCAUGAUAUCUACUUAAAAGGUGCAAUUGCACCACUACCAGAUGGACCUGCGUUGUAUUAGCUAGUUGGUGAGGUAACGGCUCACCAAGGCGACGAUACAUAGCCGACCUGAGAGGGUGAUCGGCCACACUGGGACUGAGACACGGCCCAGACUCCUACGGGAGGCAGCAGUAGGGAAUCUUCGGCAAUAGACGGAAGUCUGACCGAGCAACGCCGCGGGAGUGAAGAAGGUUUUCGGAUCGUAAAGCUCUGUUGUAAGAGAAGAACGAGUGUGAGAGUGGAAAGUUCACACUGUGACGGUAUCUUACCAGAAAGGGACGGCUAACUACGUG
Molecule: ribosomal RNA, 497 nt
Filed under: uncultured bacterium
Lineage: Bacteria
Description: partial 16S ribosomal RNA
Rfam family: Bacterial small subunit ribosomal RNA
Source: RNAcentral